GAUGAUUUAUUUUUCGUCUCUGCCAUUAAAUUGAUGAAACAAUAAUUUCCUGAAAUUUAAUGACAAAUAAUUAUUUCAUUUAUUGAUGGGCCAUUUAAAUAAUUCAGUUCAAUAAUUUCAGAAUGAUCCGUGAUGGAAAGUGCCUCUCCAUGUCGAAUUACAGGCGUCUUAAAUGUCACAAGAUUUCUAAUAAAAUGAAUUCUUUCUCUGGUUAACUGAAGGAGUAGUAGUAGACUCAGACUUACAAAUGUUAAUACAAUUAAAUUCUACAUAAACUCCUUAAAUGAAUAUGAGGUUUUGUUCCAAUAAGUAUUUUCCCUGUGUAUUAGUACUAUUUUCUUCCUGCUAUACUGGGUUACUGGGUCAAUACUUAGUAAAGAAAAUUAAAUUUAAAAAAAAAUUAAGUUCUACAACCAUGAUGUCAAACUUACUCAACUCGCUUCUAGAGGCCAUGAAGAGAACUGUUAAGGAACGCAUAAAAAUAUAUUUCUUAUAUAAUUUAAUUAUGUUGUAAUUAGAAUAAAUCGUAACAUGUUAACAUUUCGUACAGUUUCAGUCUCGGAAGCGAAUGUAUUCGAUCAUUGAAUCUCCCGUUAUACAAGACCGUAAUUUACAACUGUAAUGUCAGUCUUUUCUCUAGAUGCCAGAUUCCUAAGCUUCAAUAAUAGUCUUGAAUCUACAUAUAUUAUUUUACUCAACGAAGGUGUCAAAGGCAAAGUCUAUAUUAAGGAUUUACGAAAUAAAUCCCGUUUCGUAUACAUAUUUGCAGCUAUAAUAACAAGGAUCUACGAUAUGUCUACCCUUUUUGUAUAUAUAUGACAUUAGCAGAGGAAUUUUUAUACAAAGUCUAUAUUAAGGAUUUACGAAAUAAAUCCCGUUUCGUAUACAUAUUUGCAGCUAUAAUAACAAGGAUCUACGAUAUGUCUACCCUUUUUGUAUAUAUAUGACAUUAGCAGAGGAAUUUUUAUACAAAGUCUAUAAUAAGGAUUUACGAAAUGUACCCCGUUUUGUAUAUAUGCCAGAUGUCCAAGCUACAACUAUCACAUGUAUUGAACUUGUAUCACUUUAGCAGAGGAACUUUUAUACAAAGGUGAUCAAUCAUUUAAGUUUGCUUGACAUAUUAAUUAAGAUGUUCAACUGUGAUGACAAACGUACUCAGCCAUGAAGAGAACUGUUCUGUAACUAACGUAUAAAAUAAAUUGCUUAUUAAAAUUGUCUAAAUACUACGGUUUUUUUCAGUGUGUAUAAAUAUUGAAAAUUGUAUUUGAAAUAUUUUUGGGAAGUGAAUAAAAUAUUUAAAACUAAAAUAAAA
Drosophila albomicans is the source of this 1312-nucleotide long non-coding RNA. RefSeq lists it as uncharacterized. The record is from RefSeq and is a predicted model, not a curated record. The transcript has 8 exons. NCBI's taxonomy places the organism in Eukaryota, Metazoa, Arthropoda, Insecta, Diptera, Drosophilidae.